RNAcentral lists this transfer RNA (59 nucleotides) under Rousettus aegyptiacus (Egyptian rousette). RNAcentral describes it as "tRNA-Ser". RNAcentral also lists the same sequence under 2 other names. The record is from RNAcentral. Lineage: Eukaryota; Metazoa; Chordata; Mammalia; Chiroptera; Pteropodidae.
GAAAAAGUACGCAAGAGCUGCUAACUCAUGCACCCGCGUAUAACAACGCGGCUUUUUCC